GAUGAAGAACGCAGUGAAAUGCGAUAAGUAGUGUGAAUUGCAGAAUUCAGUGAAUCAUCGAAUCUUUGAACGCUCAUUGCGCCCCUUGGUAUUCCAUGGGGCAUGCCUGUUCGAGCGUCAUUUGUACCUUCAAGCCUUGCUUGGUGUUGGGUGUUUGUCUCGCCUCUGCGCGCAGACUCGCCUCAAAACAAUUGGCAGCCGGCGUAUUGAUUUCGGAGCGCAGUACAUCUCGCGCUUUGCACUCAGAACGACGACGUCCAAAAGUACAUUUUUACACUCUUGACCUCGGAUCAGGUAGGGAUACCCGCUGAACUUAAGCAUAUCAAUAAGCGGAGGA
RNAcentral lists this unclassified non-coding RNA (337 nucleotides) under soil metagenome. RNAcentral's name for it is "partial contains 5.8S ribosomal RNA, internal transcribed spacer 2, and large subunit ribosomal RNA". The stretch from base 1 to 120 matches the Rfam family "5.8S ribosomal RNA", at positions 35 to 154 of the family's 154-position model. The record is from RNAcentral.